This 791-nucleotide long non-coding RNA is filed under the name Haliotis rufescens (red abalone). RNAcentral's name for it is "uncharacterized LOC124117922, transcript variant X3". Lineage: Eukaryota; Metazoa; Mollusca; Gastropoda; Lepetellida; Haliotidae. The record is from RNAcentral.
UCGGCUGCUGUGAUGAUAGCAACGCCCUUCUGUACAGAGUUGACAUCACCCUUCCUCCUAAGGUGGGGAGGGACGAGACGGCAGACAUAUUGCAGAUUAAGGCAAAAGUGGAGGGUCUAACUGACAUCAAAGUUAUAUUUUCAUUUAAGGAAAUCGGGAACCCAAAGGUAUUGCUUGUUCUUAAUGUUGAGAAAGCGUGCAGCUGGCCACAAUUGACAAGCUUUCUGUCACGAAAGGGCUAUGAGGUGAAGACGACCCCAGUGUACCGCUGUAGUGACUACGCCCGGUAACUUGGGGUCAAUGUAUCAAGAGACAUUUAUGAUUUGUCUCUCGAGGAUGAUGAGCACUUACUUCUUGGCAAGCAAAUAUUUCAUGUCAAAGAUUUAACAACAGCUGAGUUUGACGAGAAGAUGAGACAGAUGUUUGAGAGAGACGUGGGGUUUCUGAAAGCAGGUCAAAGGGCGGCAUGUUUCAGAACUCUAGCAAGCCUUCCAGUUGAGUUAAUGCACUUCGCGCCAGUUGGCCCUCAGAAAAUGGAGGCGGUAGAAGAUAUCUUGCAUGGACCCGAUACCUUUGACCUUGAAAUCAUUCGAAUCCAGAACCUUGCUCCAUACGGGGGAGGGUGUCAGUGAAAAGAUGUAGUUUCCUAUGUGGCCUGACAGUUAAGGAUUAUAUAUAACAGUCCACUAAUAGUUUCAGACCUUGAAACCAGAUAUUCAGAAGGAAUACAUUUUAAACAUGUUGACGGAAAGAAUGAUAUGUAAUUAGCUUUGAAUAAAGUUUUGCAUUCC